This 96-nucleotide small nuclear RNA is filed under the name Spermophilus dauricus (Daurian ground squirrel). Lineage: Eukaryota; Metazoa; Chordata; Mammalia; Rodentia; Sciuridae. The record is from RNAcentral.
GUGCUUACUUUUGCACACAUAUACUAAAUGGGAAUGAUACAGAGAAGAUUAGCAUGGCCCCUGUGCAAGCAAAUUCAUAAAGUAUUCCAUAUUUUU